GUGCUCGCUUCGGCUGCACAUAUACUAAAAUUGAAUACAGAGAAGAUUAGCAUGGCCUCUGCGCAAGGAUGACACGCAAAUUCGUGAAGCGUUUCACAUUUUU
This 103-nucleotide small nuclear RNA is filed under the name Mus spicilegus (steppe mouse). Lineage: Eukaryota; Metazoa; Chordata; Mammalia; Rodentia; Muridae. The record is from RNAcentral.